GGAGGAUGCAAGCGUUAUCCGGAAUUAUUGGGCGUAAAGCGUCCGCAGGUGGUGUUUCAAGUCUGCUGUCAAAGACCGAAGCUUAACUUCGGGCAGGCGGUGGAAACUGAAACACUAGAGUACGGUAGGGGUAGAGGGAAUUUCCAGUGUAGCGGUGAAAUGCGUAGAGAUUGGAAAGAACACCAGUGGCGAAGGCGCUCUACUGGACCGUAACUGACACUCAGGGACGAAAGCUAGGGUAGCGAAAGGGAUUAGAUACCCCUGUAGUCCUAGCCGUAAACGAUGGAUACUAGGCGUUGCUUGUAUCGACCCGAGCAGUGCCGUAGCCAACGCGUUAAGUAUCCCGCCUGGGGAGUACGCACGCAAGUGUG
RNAcentral lists this ribosomal RNA (371 nucleotides) under uncultured bacterium. RNAcentral's name for it is "bacterial SSU rRNA". It matches the Rfam family "Bacterial small subunit ribosomal RNA", at positions 527 to 896 of the family's 1533-position model. The record is from RNAcentral.